Molecule: ribosomal RNA, 468 nt
Filed under: uncultured bacterium
Lineage: Bacteria
Description: partial 16S ribosomal RNA
Rfam family: Bacterial small subunit ribosomal RNA
Source: RNAcentral
GACGAACGCUGGCGGCGUGCUUAACACAUGCAAGUCGAACGGAAAGGCCCUGCUUUUGUGGGGUGCUCGAGUGGCGAACGGGUGAGUAACACGUGAGUAACCUGCCCUUGACUUUGGGAUAACUUCAGGAAACUGGGGCUAAUACCGGAUAGGAGCUCCUGCUGCAUGGUGGGGGUUGGAAAGUUUCGGCGGUUGGGGAUGGACUCGCGGCUUAUCAGCUUGUUGGUGGGGUAGUGGCUUACCAAGGCUUUGACGGGUAGCCGGCCUGAGAGGGUGACCGGCCACAUUGGGACUGCGAUACGGCCCAGUCUCCUACGGGAGGCAGCAGUGGGGAAUAUUGCACAGUGGGCGGAAGCCUGAUGCAGCAACGCCGCGUGCGGGAUGACGGCCUUCGGGUUGUGAACCGCUUUCGCCUGUGACGAAGCGUGAGUGACGGUAAUGGGUAAAGAAGCACCGGCUAACUACGUG